This 395-nucleotide ribosomal RNA is filed under the name uncultured bacterium. Its description in RNAcentral is "bacterial SSU rRNA". It matches the Rfam family "Bacterial small subunit ribosomal RNA", at positions 29 to 418 of the family's 1533-position model. The record is from RNAcentral.
AUUGAACGCUGGCGGCAUGCCUAACACAUGCAAGUCGAACGGCAGCACAGCAGUAGCAAUACUGUGGGUGGCGAGUGGCGGACGGGUGAGGAAUACGUCGGAAUCUGCCCAGUCGUGGGGGAUAACUAGCCGAAAGGUUAGCUAAUACCGCAUACGACCGAGAGGUGAAAGCGGGGGGACCGCAAGGCCUCGCGCGAUUGGAUGAGCCGACGUCGGAUUAGCUAGUUGGCGGGGUAAAGGCCCACCAAGGCGACGAUCCGUAGCUGGUCUGAGAGGAUGAUCAGCCACACUGGAACUGAGACACGGUCCAGACUCCUACGGGAGGCAGCAGUGGGGAAUAUUGGACAAUGGGCGCAAGCCUGAUCCAGCAAUGCCGCGUGUGUGAAGAAGGCCUC